RNAcentral lists this ribosomal RNA (255 nucleotides) under Escherichia coli. RNAcentral's name for it is "partial 23S ribosomal RNA". It matches the Rfam family "Bacterial large subunit ribosomal RNA", at positions 2535 to 2789 of the family's 2925-position model. The record is from RNAcentral. Lineage: Bacteria; Pseudomonadati; Pseudomonadota; Gammaproteobacteria; Enterobacterales; Enterobacteriaceae.
GCUCAUCACAUCCUGGGGCUGCAGUAGGUCCCAAGGGUAUGGCUGUUCGCCAUUUAAAGUGGUACGCGAGCUGGGUUUAGAACGUCGUGAGACAGUUCGGUCCCUAUCUGCCGUGGGCGCUGGAGAAUUGAGGGGGGCUGCUCCUAGUACGAGAGGACCGGAGUGGACGCAUCACUGGUGUUCGGGUUGUCAUGCCAAUGGCACUGCCCGGUAGCUAAAUGCGGAAGAGAUAAGUGCUGAAAGCAUCUAAGCACG